This 468-nucleotide ribosomal RNA is filed under the name uncultured bacterium. RNAcentral's name for it is "partial 16S ribosomal RNA". It matches the Rfam family "Bacterial small subunit ribosomal RNA", at positions 28 to 507 of the family's 1533-position model. The record is from RNAcentral.
GACGAACGCUGGCGGCGUGCUUAACACAUGCAAGUCGAACGGAAAGGCCCUGCUUUUGUGGGGUGCUCGAGUGGCGAACGGGUGAGUAACACGUGAGUAACCUGCCCUUGACUUUGGGAUAACUUCAGGAAACUGGGGCUAAUACCGGAUAGGAGCUCCUGCUGCAUGGUGGGGGUUGGAAAGUUUCGGCGGUUGGGGAAGGACUCGCGGCUUAUCAGCUUGUUGGUGGGGUAGUGGCUUACCAAGGCUUUGACGGGUAGCCGGCCUGAGAGGGUGACCGGCGACAUUGGGACUGAGAUACGGCCCAGACUCCUACGGGAGGCAGCAGUGGGGAAUAUUGCACAAUGGGCGGAAGCCUGAUGCAGCAACGCCGCGUGCGGGAUGACGGCCUUCGGGUUGUAAACCGCUUUCGCCUGUGACGAAGCGUGAGUGACGGUAAUGGGUAAAGAAGCACCGGCUAACUACGUG